Long non-coding RNA from Folsomia candida, 742 nucleotides. RefSeq lists it as uncharacterized. Lineage: Eukaryota; Metazoa; Arthropoda; Collembola; Entomobryomorpha; Isotomidae. The record is from RefSeq and is a predicted model, not a curated record. The transcript has 2 exons.
CAGGUGCACUGAAUCAAUCGAACUUGAAAAGUUAUCCGAUAAACAAUAUUUGUUUCCGUUCGUAUUAAAAAUUACCUGAAAGUAAAACAUUCUGAAAAACAAUGACGAAACUUUGCGUCGUUAUUUUGGCCGUUGUCAUGUCCUCCUUAUUCUGCACGGUCUAUGCACCCUGUCCAAUUUGUGAGGAGAUAGGUGAGACGUGCUGCUGGAAUCCGCAGUAUGGCCACCACUGCGGUCCGAUUGGUUGCGGGAAUUACGUCGAGGAAAUUGAGGCUGCAGCUUGCCCCAUUUGUUCGCCUCAUGAGGUUUUUGUCGGGACGAAUUUGGACAUCAUUGUGGACCACCGGGCUGCGGUCGACCGUAAUCGCGAAAUGAUGGAAUUCACACAUACAUACAUACAUAUAUACUAAAAGAGUAUGCACAUAUGUACGUUACACACUAUUUUAUGCUCAUCAAGAUCACCGUUUUAUAUACGUAAUUUAAUUAACACAUAUUUUACCAGUAAAUGUAUUAAGCAAUGUAUUUAUAACCUUCUCUAUUUUUAUUUUCAUACAUACAUAAAUGCUAUUUGUUUCAAAAAUGCAAGCCGAACGAUGCUAAACACAUAUAUGUAGCAUUUACAACCUAAUACAUGUCUCAGCUUAUGAAUAAUCCAGAGCCGCAAAGUUAAUGAUUUUUGAGGCAAUUUGCAGUUGUUUUUACAACAGAAAGGGCUAAUAAAAUUCUCCAGCCUUGUAUACAA